This is a non-coding RNA of Tribolium castaneum (red flour beetle), 77 nucleotides long. Lineage: Eukaryota; Metazoa; Arthropoda; Insecta; Coleoptera; Tenebrionidae. The record is from RefSeq and is marked provisional.
CGAGUCCUCGAUGAUGUAAGCGGAACCGUCCGGGUUGUAGACGAUCUUGCCGGAGAACUGCUCCACGUCCGAGGUGU